AUUGGAUCAGAGCGUGGACAUAUGUGUGGGAGAAGAUUCUGGACGCUCUUGAGACAAUCCAAGCGAAAUUCAGUGAGGGGCUAUACUGCUGAGAAGCAGAUAAAAUGGGAAA
This is an unclassified non-coding RNA of Neogale vison (American mink), 112 nucleotides long. The record is from Ensembl. Lineage: Eukaryota; Metazoa; Chordata; Mammalia; Carnivora; Mustelidae.